Perca flavescens (yellow perch) is the source of this 1420-nucleotide long non-coding RNA. RefSeq lists it as uncharacterized. NCBI's taxonomy places the organism in Eukaryota, Metazoa, Chordata, Actinopteri, Perciformes, Percidae. The record is from RefSeq and is a predicted model, not a curated record. The transcript is spliced from 3 exons.
AGUCCUAAUAUAGUACGUCUAAUAAAGUGAUAUAAAGUCCUAAUAUAGUAUGUCUAAUAGAGUAAUAUAAAGUCCUAGUAUAGUAUGUCUAAUAGAGUAAUAUAAAGUCCUAGUAUAGUAUGUCUAAUAGAGUAAUAUAAAGUUUAGUUUGUAAAAGGCUCCAGUAUGAUGUGGUGGUCUGUGUUCUCCUGUAUGAUGAGGUGGUCUGUGGUCUCCAGUAUGAUGAGGUGGUCUGUGGUGGUCUGUGGUCUCCAGUAUGAUGAGGUGGUCUGUGGUAUCCAGUGUGAUGAGGUGGUCUGUGGUGGUCUGUGGUCUCCAGUAUGAUGAGGUGGUCUGUGGUCUCCAGUGUGAUGAGGUGGUCUGUGGUCUCCAGUGUGAUGAGGUGGUCUGUGGUGGUCUGUGGUCUCCAGUAUGAUGAGGUGGUCUGUGGUCUCCAGUAUGAUGAGGUGGUCUGUGGUGGUCUGUGGUCUCCAGUAUGAUGAGGUGGUCUGUGGUCUCCAGUGUGAUGAGGUGGUCUGUGGUCUCCAGUGUGAUGAGGUGGUCUGUGGUCUCCAGUGUGAUGAGGUGGUCUGUGGUCUCCAGUGUGAUGAGGUGGUCUGUGGUCUCCAGUAUGAUGAGGUGGUCUGUGGUCUCCAGUGUGAUGAGGUGGUCUGUGGUGGUCUGUAGUCUCCAGUGUGAUGAGGUGGUCUGUGGUCUACAGUGUGAUGAGGUGGUCUGUGGUGGUCUGUGGUCUCCAGUAUGAUGAGGUGGUCUGUGGUCUCCAGUAUGAUGAGGUGGUCUGUGGUUGUCUGUGGUCUCCAGUAUGAUGAGGUGGUCUGUGGUGGUCUGUGGUCUCCAGUGUGAUGAGUUGGUCUAUGGUGGUCUGUGGUCUCCAGUGUGAUGAGGUGGUCUGUGGUGGUCUGUGGUCUCCAGUAUGAUGAGGUGGUCUGUGGUGGUCUGUGGUCUCCAGUAUGAUGAGGUGGUCUGUGGUGGUCUGUGGUCUCCAGUGUGAUGAGGUGGUCUGUGGUGGUCUGUGGUCUCCAGUGUGAUGAGGUGGUCUGUGGUGGUCUGUGGUCUCCAGUAUGAUGAGGUGGUCUGUGGUCUCCAGUGUGAUGAGGUGGUCUGUGGUCUCCAGUAUGAUGAGGUGGUCUGUGGUUGUCUGUGGUCUCCAGUAUGAUGAGGUGGUCUGUGGUGGUCUGUGGUCUCCAGUGUGAUGAGUUGGUCUAUGGUGGUCUGUGGUCUCCAGUGUGAUGAGGUGGUCUGUGGUGGUCUGUGGUCUCCAGUAUGAUGAGGUGGUCUGUGGUCUCCAGUGUGAUGAGGUGGUCUGUGGUCUCCAGUAUGAUGAGGUGGUCUGUGGUGGUCUGUGGUCUCCAGUAUGAUGAGGUGGUCUGUGGUGGUCUGUGGUCUCCAGUGUGAUGAGGUGGUCUGUGGUGGUCUGUGG